CUCUUAAGUUGUUACGAUUUUUAUGUAGAGGGUGUUUUUUUUUUCCCCCGUAUGAUGUUUUCUGGGCUUGAUUAAGCCAGUUUGUUGCCUGAGGGAAAAAAAAUUACUCAGACAGAAGGUGAAGAAUAGACUAAACCAGAAUUUUUUUUAUCUGCGUUGUUUUGAGGGCUAAUAAGCAAACCCCACUAAUGCCAGCACCUUUGACUAGCGACAAUAAGGGAAAGAAAGCUGCAUUUUUAGCCUUUUCGUGAGUGAGGGGCUAAUCGUAGGCACCCGAACAAUGCAAUCUAUAUGCAGAUGACAUUUGCAGAAUCUGUUGAUAAGCAAAGAUUUGCAAUUUCUUUGUGUGGCUGGCAUUCAUUCCUCGAUUCCUCUGGUAGAUGUUCUGACCUUGGGGGAGCUGUGAGGGGGUAGGGCUGAGAUGCACAUUAUCAGAGGCAAGACAAUGUUCAGAUUUCACAGCAGGAUUUAGAUAAGCUUAUUAAACAAAUGCCAUCUUUUAAAGUCGGGGCUUUGUUAUUACAAACACUAAUGACAUCUUUUAAAGUUGGUUAGGCUUCUUUACAGGGAAAGAGUCACUGGAACAGAUGAUUCAAAUAGAAAA
RNAcentral lists this long non-coding RNA (604 nucleotides) under Bos taurus (domestic cattle). Its description in RNAcentral is "long non-coding RNA NONBTAT015106". The record is from RNAcentral. Lineage: Eukaryota; Metazoa; Chordata; Mammalia; Artiodactyla; Bovidae.